ACAACGACUGCUACUAAAAAACCAUAAGUAUUUCGAAUCUUAAUGCAGCUCGUUUACAAACAGCAGAGAUAAUGUCGAGAUACAAAAGGUCUUUCAAACCAUGCUAAGCAAAUAGACAUGGAGUAGCUAGAGUUAAGUUUGAUAAUUAAAACUGACAUACAUUAAACUAGAAAUUUGGAGAAGAGUUGUUGAAACUUCUAAUUGAAUUGAAGAUUAGUAAAAUUGGACCAUAAAGCUUAACCAUCUUUCAAUCUUCCAUACAUUUUAAAAACGGGCACAGUAUCGAUAUGAGAGAAAUACGAUACUAAACUAAAAUAAAAGGAAAUACUUAAUUGUAGUUUGAUCUUGGAAGCUACUCGAAUGUAUAAUUCACCAUAUUUAUAACCUCGUCUAUUACGUCACAGAAGGGAAGGAGGAGCGAGGUAUUGGGGUAUAAUACGUGUUCAUACUGCGUAAGGUGGUGGUAGAUGUGUCUCGCU
Non-coding RNA from Schizosaccharomyces pombe (fission yeast), 479 nucleotides. NCBI's taxonomy places the organism in Eukaryota, Fungi, Ascomycota, Schizosaccharomycetes, Schizosaccharomycetales, Schizosaccharomycetaceae. The record is from the annotation of a GenBank genome assembly.